RNAcentral lists this small RNA (74 nucleotides) under Ichthyenterobacterium magnum. Its description in RNAcentral is "Flavo-1 RNA". It matches the Rfam family "Flavo-1 RNA". Lineage: Bacteria; Pseudomonadati; Bacteroidota; Flavobacteriia; Flavobacteriales; Flavobacteriaceae. The record is from RNAcentral.
AUUUUGCGUUAAGGAUAGUAGCGGCAUCCUUUUUUGAUUUUACAAAAAAGAUAUAGCGAAUAGCCUGCUGUUUU